This is a non-coding RNA of Labrus mixtus (cuckoo wrasse), 4439 nucleotides long. NCBI's taxonomy places the organism in Eukaryota, Metazoa, Chordata, Actinopteri, Labriformes, Labridae. The record is from the annotation of a RefSeq genome assembly.
AACAAAAAAAUUGUUCUACUCUGUAAACUUGUGGAAUUCACAAAGUUCAACAUUUUAAACCUGAUACAAUUCAUUUGUAAAGCUUUUAUACUGUAAAAACUUAAAUUUUGCUCACACUAAACAGAUGUUGAUCUCACUAAAAAUAACCAAGAGCCCCUUUGAAAUCCAAAAGUAAUACUUUAUUGUACUGUUGUACACUGUUUAAGUUAAAUUUAUGGAGGGCGUUGUUAUGACGAGGUCAGGCAAGUCUUCUAUGUGGUAUUUUAUGAUGCAGUAAGCCUAACUGAAUUGCAGGGAUGUAAACAUUGUGGUGUAUUUUUAAUGAUCAACGUUUAUUUUCUUUGUCUUUUCAGGUUAAAUGAGGUGAACUUUCUGUAGAAUGUAUUUUUCACAGUGUUUUUGCAUACAUUCAGAGUAUCAUGUAAGUAACCGUCUUUGUCCUUUAUUUUAUUACAAAAAACCAUGUCAUUAUGAUGUUUUUAAAAUAUUAACCAUUGACAUUGAAACUGCAAUAUUUUUCUCUUUUUCAAACUGUACUAUCUAUCAUUUCCACCACGAACAUUUUUGUCACAUAAUAAUCCUAUUUGUACAAUGUCUUGUUUUGAGCAAUCUGCAUUUGUGUGAUUUGUUUUUUCAAGUAAUAAAUUGCAUUUCUGUUAAUGACUUUUCCAGAAUCUUUUAAUGAACAACCCAUGAGAGAUUCAAUCCAUGAAUGCGAACAUCUUACAGUUGCUUAUGUUCUUGAAUCUAUUAUUAAACCUUUAGCAAAGUUUGAAACCUAUUUAAUCAUGCAUGUAAAAUGAUAUGAGAUAUUUAAAUGUUAGUUCUGUUUCUUUUACUGGCAUAACCACACCUCACACCUGGUCUCUGUGAUGCACGGUUGCUCUUGUCUUUGUUUCACUUCUGUAAUUUGGUGCUUUUUUGAGAGCUGGGUGUUACUCAAUGCUUCCGCCUGCUGCUUACCCUGACCCCUCUGCCCUGUCAUACCGCCACAUCUGUGCAACAGACUCCCAGCCUUAUCGCCAAAUAACUUUUAAGAUACAAUUUAAAGGUACAACUCUGCCAUCUAGCCUGAAAAAAAGAUAUUACACUUAGUAUUGAGACAAACCUGAUUAUCUGGAGGUAUGUAUCAAUGGUUAUAUGAAAUCAGCUCAUAUUGUUUUUUUAUGCUAACAUGUAAUAGAAGGAAGCAAGUCAUAAAAUAUUAUCUUCUGUACUACAGAACCGCUGGUUGUAUCUCCAAACAUCACAUUACAACCUGUCUGGGAAGGUGAAUUCAAAGCCUUAGGGGUCAGACUCAUCUGCACCUUGAGUGGAUUCUUUCCAGAUAAACUGAGUGUGGAGUGGAAGCUGGACAACAACCCUCUAGUGAUUAAUCCAAUCGAAAGGAAGCUGCAGACCGUGGAGGGAGUGAAAAAAACAUUUAGUUUUAGCAGUGAGAUUGAGCCAAACAGCAAGGAGUGGGCAAAAGGCUCAAGCUAUACAUGCAAGGCGAUUCACAACAACAUUGAAUUUACAAAGACAAUUAGUGUCUGUCAAAUCGUUCCAAGCACCACUCCUGCCAUGCAUUUACAAACCCCGAGCUUCAAGACGGUAAUGGAGGCAAAGUCAGACAUUGAGGCAACAUGUUCAGUCUGCACUAUUUUUGAUGCCACUGUGACAUGGAGGCUGGAUGAUGACUCUCCCUCCAAAGAACACAUCAACCAGGUCACUAAUGCAAGUCAUAUAAUAAGCACUCUGACAGUUUCAUCAAGCAGCUGGCAAAGACUGAAGAAUCUAAAAUGUAAGGCUGAACAUCACUGCUUCUCUUCUACUGAAGUUACAUUUGUUCCAGGGCCUGCAGUAAGACCUCCAUUGAUUCAGAUCAGAAGAUCUCUCCCACAUUUGCUGAAGGGAGACAGUGCUGUGCUGGAGUGUGACAUCACACAGUCCGACUCCAGGGAUCUAUCUGUCACCUUACAGACUAAUACGAAUGCUAUUAUUGGCAAACAGUUUGUUGAUCUUCCUCAAACCCCAGGACCACAUUCAAUCAGUAGAUUCUUCUCUGUGCCUCAAAAUCACUGGAAGAAAAACACAAGUUUCUACUGCAAAGUAAGCCAAGGUUUCUCUGGCAGUUCUACAUCAAACUCUACUGGCAUUAUCUUUGUGGAUCCAUCAGUGGAGCUCCUUCUGGUCCCAGGUGAAGAAUCUGGACAACAGAGACUGUCGUGCUCUGGAUGGGGCUUUGACCCUCAAAUCAAAUGGUCUUCUGAGUCCCAGCAAAAAUCUCCUUCGACCUAUGACAUCAGCAUGGGUGCAGGUGGACGUGUGGCAGUAACCAGUCAACUUCUUGUCCCUCAAAAAGAGUGGAAAACGGGGAAAAACUUCACCUGUCAAGUCUCUGACAGAAUUCUGAAGAAAGAUGUUCAACAGGAGAUCAGCCUCUGUUCAGUUACUCCCGCAUCAUCUCAAUCAGUUGGGGUCUAUAUUCAGGGACCACCACUCCAGGAGAAUCAGAACACGGGACAAGUGACUGUCACCUGCCUUUUGGUUGGCCCUCUUCUAAAAGAUAUUUCCAUCAACUGGAAAGUAGAUGGAAACACAUAUACCCAUCGUGCCCAUAUAGAGCCACCAGUGAGUCUCGGCAACGGUACAGAAACUUUGCGGAGCUUCCUUAACGUGUCAGCAGAGGACUGGAACUCUUAUAAAAACGUGUCAUGUGAGGGAAAGCAUCCAUGUUCCAAACAGAGCUACAAGGACCAUAUAAAGAAAUGCAAAGACACCAGUCCACCAACAGUGAAGAUUAUACAACCAAGUGCCUCUCAGGCUUCCACAUCACACUUCCUCACACUUACUUGCCUGGUGUCAGAAUUUUUCCCAUCCAACAUAAUAGUGUACUGGAAAAAAGAUGGCCAGAGACUCCCUUCAACUGGCUACACUAACAGUCCUGCAUGGAAGUACACCGGGAGCAGCACUUAUUCAAUGAGCAGCAGACUAAAUAUAACCAAAACUGUGCACGAGGAGUCCACAUAUUCUUGCGUUGUCAGACAUGAGUCAUCCGAAAUGCCCCUUGAAAGCAGUAUAAAGGAUGUGUUUGACGUAUUGGAGAGCUGUGAUUUUUUGGAUAAUAUUAUGUAUGCUGAAAGGAUCCAAGACAAAGAUGAGGAAGGCUGGUUUAUGGCUUUCACAUUUCUCGUUUUUUUCCUCAUCUCCAUCGUCUACGGUGUCUUUGCAACCCUGUUUAAGGUAAGCAACAGCAGUUUUAGUAGUUUUGGGCUGUGUCCGAAAUCACACACUCAUUCCCUACUCCCUACUCACUACAUAGUGAGUUAUAGCUAGUGGAUUAUAUAGUGCACUCACUCAGCAAUAUUAAAAAACCUUUCAGACACUACUUGUUUGCCACUGACAACGACGUCCUUGUCGCGCAACUAAAACGUGCAGCUUAACUCCAAUCAAUAAUAAUGGAAAAUAACAUCAUGAAUUUUAGUAAUAACUUUUUAUAAAUGAUAAAUGGACUUUAGCUUAUAUAGUGCUUUUACACUGCAUGUCACACCCAUUCACACACUGAUGAUAGUAGUCGCUAUGUAGUAUCAUCCAUCAGAAGCAACUAAUCCCAUUCAUACACCGCCACCGAAGCAGUAAUUCGGGGUUAAGGGUCUUGACCAUUAACCCCGAACACAUUGGACAUGUUGCCCAGCUGGGGAUCAAACCCUUGACCUUCCGGUUGAGAGGCGACAACUCUACCAACUGAGCCACAGCCGCCGCCCCUGUAUUAUACUGAGUGUAUUUUCACAAAACAGUCAUAAAUAAUGAAUAAAUAUAAAAUAUAGAAUUUUUGAUAUAAUGAAACAUUAGUGCACCAAAACUAAUUCAUUUGUGUAUCUGUGCACUACUUUUGCAAUGCAUUGUGGGAUACAAUGAGUGGAUUAUAUAAAGGUAUGAUCAUGCUCACUUAGAAUUCGGACUUCAAAAAUGGCAUGUUCACUAGUGAAUUUGGGAGUGAUUUCGGACACAGCCUUGGUAUUUAGAUUUCAUCUUCUAGCAGAGUAUUUCAUAUCUCUUGAGUUAUCUAUACAUCUCUGAAUUUUUUUAAUGAUUACUCCAGUAAUUUUAAGUGUUUUGGGAGUUUAAAUUGAAGUCUUUUACUAAAAUAAAAAAAGUCCCACAUCUAUAACCACUAAACCUUUUUUUUCCCUUUUAGACUAAAUGAUGGCGAUCACAGGAACAGAUCAACUUUCAAGAUCAAAAAGUGAACUUCUGGAGAUUUUUGAUUGUAUCUGGUCUUGUUAAUCUUUAAAUGGGAUAAGAAAUGCUCCCAUCAUCAUGUUCCUUUCCACUGUUUUACAUCUUGUUACUUUUCUACAUGCCAAUUCUUUUGAGAUUAUGCUACCAAUGUCAUGAAAACAAAUCCUGUAUCAUUUGUGCAUUGAGAAAAUAAAUAUUCAUGAAUUGGAAACAAA